This 606-nucleotide ribosomal RNA is filed under the name uncultured bacterium. RNAcentral's name for it is "bacterial SSU rRNA". It matches the Rfam family "Bacterial small subunit ribosomal RNA", at positions 277 to 882 of the family's 1533-position model. The record is from RNAcentral.
CGAUCGGUAGGGGUUCUGAGAGGAAGGCCCCCCACAAUGGGACUGAGACACGGCCCAUACUCCUACGGGAGGCAGCAGUGAGGAAUAUUGGUCAAUGGGCGGAAGCCUGAACCAGCCAUGCCGCGUGCGGGAAGGAGGCCCUAUGGGCUGUGAACCGCUUUUGCCUGGGGGCAAUAAGGGCGUCGCGCACGUCCGAUGAGAGUACCAGGCGAAUAAGCAUCGGCUAACUCCGUGCCAGCAGCCGCGGUAAUACGGGGGAUGCGAGCGUUAUCCGGAUUCAUUGGGUUUAAAGGGUGCGUAGGCUGUGCGUCAAGUCGGGGGUGAAAUUCCGGUGCUCAACACCGGGGCUGCCCUUGAUACUGUCGCGCUGGAGUGCGGAUGCCGCCGGAGGAAUGAGUGGUGUAGCGGUGAAAUGCUUAGAUAUCACUCAGAACACCGAUUGCGAAGGCAUCUGGCGAAUCCGUAACUGACGCUGAGGCACGAAAGCGUGGGGAUAGAACAGGAUUAGAUACCCUGGUAUUCCACGCCGUAAACGAUGAUGGCUAACCGCCGGCGACACACUGUCGGUGGCCAAGCGAAAGCGAUAAGCCAUCCACCUGGGGAGAU